GGAGGAAUGGACAGGGUGGCGAGACCAAGUAACUGCUCCAAGGUCCCAGGCUGGGCGGCGGAGCUCGGCUCGGUCAGACGCGGAUCCAGGCCGGACUCCACGUCUUCCUGCUCCGAAACUGAGGGCCAGUGGAGGCACAGGGUGUAAGCAGUGCUUCUCCAUCCGGAAUGUGCCGAUGCAUCCACCUGGGAAACUUGUUACAACACAGAUGCACAUUCAGUUGAUCCAAGGUGGGUGAGGAAACGGGGACAAAUGCCAGAUUCCUGAUCAGAUUAAAGGCUGGACAGAGAUGCGUCCAUCAGAACCAGAUGAACAGAAGUCAACAGAUGCAAUGUCUAUCCAUCAUGUAGGUUGCCCACAAAAUCAAGAUGGCCAGGAAGCAGCUGGUAUUUACACCUGGGGCUCUCCCCUUGCCCUCACUUGGGCAGAGGCAGAGAAAGAACGUUGCCCAGCAGCACUUUGGGGAGUUCCCCCUCACACACACAUUCCAUGAUAAUCCGCUUCAGUUGUUAUGAUUUGGGCAAGUUGCCUCCAAGGAUAACUCCUGUGGAAAGAUGGCCAUGGAUUUAGGGGGGAGACCUUUUUUCCGAGAUUACCUUUGUAAAUCUGGAUGUGGUCAGGGUGGGUGGAGGGUAAUCUUAGCCACCCACAGGAGAGAUCCUUCUAGACAAUGAAGCAACACUGAGGACGGCAGAGCCAUGCCCUUGUUCUUCAGAUUACACAAGUAGGUCAAGUCCCUUUCUUCCCCUGAAGCCAGAGGUUGUCUGAAACUUUCAACUGGAGUAUGCAUAACACACCUGUGUGGAUUGAAGUGUGUCUCCCAGAAAGACGUGUCCAAGUCCCAACCUCUGGUACCUGUGAGUGUGACCUUAUUUGGAGUUAGGGUCUUUGCAGAUGUGAUCAGGCUAAGAUGAGGCCCCAUUAGAUUAGGCUGAGGACGAAGACACACACAGGAGGUAACACCGUGUAGUGAUGGAGGUAGAGAUUGGAGUGAUGCAUCCACAAGCCAAGGAAUGCCAGGAGCCCCCAGAAGCUCGGAGAGAGGCGUGGAAAUUCCCUCAGAUUCUCUCUCAGAAACUCCAGAAGAAGCCAACCCCACUGACACCUGAAUUUUGACCUUCUAGUUUCCAGAACCCUGGGAGAAUAAAUUUCUGUUGUUUCGAGCCAUCCGGUUGGUGGUGCUCUGUUACAGCAGCCCUAGGAACCUAAUACAACCCCUCGCUGAUGGUGUUGGCCAUGGAAUCACCUACCCCUUCCUUCCGAGAAACACAUGCAGGAGACUUUUAGGAAGCGCUCUCGGUGGUACCCCUAUUUGACCUAAAGAUGCAGUUUGAGGAGUUGUUUGCAUCCGAUCCCUGGCUUUUUGGCUCUCCUGCUCAACUCUCCCCCCAGCACCUAUGCUGAAAGACAUCUUAGUGUAGGCCCUCACCAUAUCUUGCCUAACUUGCAAAAAAUCGUCUGCCGUCUUUUUCUCUCUUGGUUCAUAUUCCAUACUGCCACUUUCCCCCAAAACCAACCGAUUCCAUCUUUCCUCUUGUUAAAACUCUCCAUUGGUUACCCAGGCCCUACAGAAAGCUCUAUCACAUGUGAUCGGAGAAUCUGAAGAAUCUCAUGUCAGCUUAUCUCUGUCCUGUCUAUUCUCAUUCCCUUGCCAUGUGCCCCAUCCCUUUGUUUUUUUAAUGAAAUGACCUGCAUGUAUUUGUUUGUUUGUUUGUUUGUUUUUUGUCUGUUUGUUUGUUUUUUGGCCACACCAUUCCUUAUGUGAGAUCUUAGUUCCCUGACCAGGGAUCGAACCCAUACCCCCUGCAUUGGAAACACAGAAUCUUAACCACUGGACCGCCAGGGAAGUCCCUGUGCCCCAUACUUUGAUGACACUAAGCAUGCACUAAGGGACUCUCUCCAGGGUUGUCACUCAGCAAAUAGUAUCUCUGGGAGAGGGGGGAGGUGGGUGGGGCAGACAGCAUAAGGAGCCGGUCUGAGAAGGCAGCACAGGCAGCGGGCUGUUGGGAAAAGAGCCCCAUCCUCAAGUCAGGAGACCUGAGCCCCAGCCCUGAUUUUGUCACGCAUUCGACGCACACCACAAGCAUGGCACCCACAAGGUCUGUCCACCUGCAGACCAGAUGUUUUCCAACUUCCCUUCCUGCUGCCCCACUCUGAUUUUUCACAUCUGCAGACUGAACACCAGGCCAGGUGCACGAUGAGUUAGGAACAGAGCAAAUGGCCACUGGGAGUUGGUUCCCUAGCAGCCGCCACCUCCCCUGUUUUGCCAACCCCUCCACGCUUCUGCCCGUGCUGAUUUGGUAACCGCUGUGUGAUGCACAGGAGGAAGCGGAGGAGGAGGGAAGUUAUGGGGAAAUGGUGCUGGAUGCUGAGCAAUGAAACCACAUGUGUGAAGCGGAAGCUGUGAUGCCCAAGCCAGAACCACCGCCGGCCAGAGCCCCCAGGGUCUGGAGAAUGACCCUUCGCUGACACGGAGGGGAGUCCCCCAAGGCCACGAACUGAGUGAUACUGUGUACACAGCUGACACCUUGUCUCAAGGGCGGCUGACAGCUUUCAGAAUAAGGAUCGGUCCCAUGUUCUUGAAAAGCAGCAGUGUUGACUCAUGCAAGAAAGCAUAUCCUCUUUUGAAGGUACAGUAAAGGGGCCAGAAACUCCUUUUAAUGAAACUCCAAUAGCAAAUGCGCUCCUUUUCCUUUUAGAGAACAGACGGAUCUGUGGAAUCCAAUUCAAAAAGUUCAUAGAGGCCCAAACUGGCCAAACUCACACAGCCCACAGUGGCCACUCAAGUUCCAACUGAGCUCAUGCCUCAUAAAAAGUUUUCCUGGACCCAUGCACUGCUCUCAGGCAGAUCAGCCAGAUCUUCUAGCACGGUGGCCAAGGGCACAAGGUCUGGAACCAGAAUGCAUGUGUUUGAUUCCUGGCUCUGCCCCUUAGUGGCCCGACCUUAGCAUCCCCAUCGGUCAAAUUCAGGGCUCAUGUGUUAUUAAAUGCAUUAAUACAGGAGAUGAACGGAAAACGGUGAGGUUCCGUAUGUGUUAACUUGUUAUUAUCAUAAUAAGCCAUGGCUCAUUCAUUUGAGGGCACCUGGGUCUCCACCACUAAGUAGCUCUGCAUAUCCGAGCAAAACACUUCAGCGCUUCGAGCUCUUAAACACUAGGUUCUAUGGGAUGCCCCCUGAAGUCCUUUCUGGACCUAAAAUGGAGCUCAGCCUGGUUGCCUUUCCAGGUCCUGAACUGUGUUUGCAAACCAGGACAUUGCUCUCGCUGAUUCAUGUGAGAUUCGUGAUGGAUGACUUUGUGCGUCAACUUGAUUGGGCCACAGGGUGCCCGUAGUUGGUUAAACGUGACUCUGAGUGUGUCUGUGAUGAUCUGAUAAACAACACCGCUGGGAUCCUUACAAGAGGAUCUGAGAGCCAGGAGGAGGGGUACCACACAGACCCAGCAGGCCUUGAAGCUGGAGUGUGCCUCCCAGGCUCCGCCCUCUCCAGGCCAGCUGGGAUGUGUCCCCUGACAUCCAGGGAGACCUGGAUGACCCAGCUUCCCUGGACCAUACAAUAAACAAGUGGCUGGGGCACUUCUAAGUGUUGUCAGCUGUGUCCUGGCUCAAGUUUUGUCAACAAAACGGAUGGAUUUAUAACUAAGGUUAAAAACUGCUGAGAUCUAAUUAAACAAUUCUGUCCAUUUCCCGAGAAAAAUGAGAGACACUUCAGCAGUAUUUACGGUGGCAAUUGGAGGGCCACAUACGGGUCAUGCCCAGAGGGUGGACUCUUGAGAAGAGCUGUCCAUAAAAUGAUCAUCUUUUUAAGGUGAAUGUAUUCACAAAGUUACAGUAACUGCCAUUCAUUGGGCCCUGCUCCAUGGUCUUUAUGUGUAUCAGCUCAGCUAGGCCUCCCAGUAAACCUACCAGGCACAUAUUAUUAUCCCCCUUCCUUGUUUUUCCAUUGCAGUAAAGUAGACAUAACAAAUUUUACCAUUUUAACCAUUUUUAAAUGUACAUUUUAAAGUGUACACAUAACCAUUUUUGAGUGUACCCAUGUGGCAUGACGUUCACAUUCUAUACACAUUCUGUUCCCAUUAAACAACAAAUUCCCUUUUCUGCUGCCCGCAGCCCCUGGCAACCACCAUCUACUUUCUGUCUCCAUGAGUUUGACUACUCUAGGCCCUCAUAUCAGUGGAAUCAUACGGUAUUUGUCCUUUCGUGGCUGGUUUAUCCCACUUAACAUAAUAUCUACAAGGUUCAUCCAUGUUGUACCCCAUGUCAGAAUUUCCUUUCUUUUCAAGGCUGAACGAUAUUUUGUUAUAUGUAUAUAUCACAUUUUAAAAUUCAUUCAUCUUUUGAUGAAUGCUUGGGUUGCUUCUGCCUUUCGGCUAUAGGGAAUAAUGCCGCUGUGAACAUGAAUGUACAAAUAUCUCUUUGAGUCCCUUCUUGCAGUUCUUUAGGACAUAUAACCAGAAGUGGAAUCGAUUGAUAUUAUUCCCUUUUAAAGAAGAAUAAAUCGGGUGCAGAAAGAUUACUUAUCUUGCCUACGUCUACGCAGCUAAGUGUCAGAACAAGGAUUCUCCCCAAGCAGGCUGACUCCGGUAUCCAAGCUCUUGGCCGCCACACUGCACUGCCUCUCACCCGUGACUCUUAUAUUCUGAUACAACCACACCUAGAAGGUUACAAAGCCUGGCUAUACUGACCAGAGGAAGGAUGGGCAUGGGCCUCCCAUGCCCCCCAUAUUCCCUGACUCCACACCCCUCCUACCAUAGGCUUCCAGAACCCCAGACUGACAUGACAAAAUCUCCUCCAGAGGUUGGACAUUCCAGGUUCUUCUCUGCCCGUAUCUGAGUGUAAGUUAAACUACUUGCUUUGACUGGUUCUUGUAUGAGCGCUUACCGGGCAGUCCCUCAAACAGGACAGACGUGUGUUGGUGACAGUGGUCCAUCUCUUUGGCUGUUGGCUAAGUUUUGGAACAUCUGAGGGUCCAAACCCGGGCCCCCUUCUCUUCUUAAGCCACGGUCUCUAGGGAGGGCACCUCAUCCAGAGCAACAGCUGUACGUACCAUCUGCCAUAGAUGACUCCCAGAUUUACAUCUCCAGACCUGUAUUUUCAACCACUUGUUGACUUCUCCACUGGAUGUCCAAUGGGCAUUUCAAGUUCCAAACAGUCCGAAAAGAACUUCUCCACCCCAAUGUUCAUAGUAUCAUUGUGUACAGUUGCCAAGAUAUGGAAGCAACGUAAGUGUCCAUCAGAUGAACGGAUAAAUAAGAUGUGAGAUAUAUAUAUAUAUAUACACACACACACACAAUGGAAUACUACUCAGCCAUAAAAAUGAAUGAAAUAAUGCCAUUUGCAACACGAUGGAUGGACUUAGAGGGUAUCACGCUAAGUGAAAUAAGUCAGACAGAGAAAGACAAACACUCUAUGACAUCACUUAUAUGUGGAACCUAAAAACUACAACAAAUUAGUGAAUAUAACAAAAAAGAAACAGA
Molecule: long non-coding RNA, 5474 nt
Organism: Orcinus orca (killer whale)
Lineage: Eukaryota; Metazoa; Chordata; Mammalia; Artiodactyla; Delphinidae
Exons: 4
Source: RefSeq, a predicted model, not a curated record